This 484-nucleotide ribosomal RNA is filed under the name uncultured bacterium. RNAcentral's name for it is "partial 16S ribosomal RNA". It matches the Rfam family "Bacterial small subunit ribosomal RNA", at positions 30 to 507 of the family's 1533-position model. The record is from RNAcentral.
AUUGAACGCUGGCGGCAUGCUUUACACAUGCAAGUCGAACGGCAGCGCGGGCUUCGGCCUGGCGGCGAGUGGCGAACGGGUGAGUAAUACAUCGGAACGUGCCCAGUAGUGGGGGAUAGCUCGGCGAAAGCCGGAUUAAUACCGCAUACGACCUGAGGGUGAAAGCGGUGGAUCUUCGGACCUCGCGCUAUUGGAGCGGCCGAUGGCAGAUUAGCUAGUUGGUGGGGUAAAGGCUUACCAAGGCGACGAUCUGUAGCUGGUCUGAGAGGACGACCAGCCACACUGGGACUGAGACACGGCCCAGACUCCUACGGGAGGCAGCAGUGGGGAAUUUUGGACAAUGGGCGAAAGCCUGAUCCAGCAAUGCCGCGUGUGUGAUGAAGGCCUUCGGGUUGUAAAGCACCUUUGGCGGGAACGAAAAGGACUGUGCCAAUACCACGGUUCGAUGACGGUACCCGCAGAAUAAGCACCAGCUAACUACGUG